UGACCUCGGAUCAGGUAGGAAUACCCGCUGAACUUAAGCAUAUCAAUAAGCGGAGGAAAAGAAACCAACAGGGAUUGCCCUAGUAACGGCGAGUGAAGCGGCAACAGCUCAAAUUUGAAAUCUGGCUACUUUGUAGUCCGAGUUGUAAUUUGUAGAGGAUGCUUUUGGUGAAGUGCUUUCUGAGUUCCCUGGAACGGGACGCCAGAGAGGGUGAGAGCCCCGUACAGUUAGCAACUGAUCCUUUGUAUAGCUCCUUCGACGAGUCGAGUAGUUUGGGAAUGCUGCUCUAAAUGGGAGGUAUAUCUCUUCUAAAGCUAAAUAUAGGCUAGAGACCGAUAGCGCACAAGUAGAGUGAUCGAAAGAUGAAAAGCACUUUGAAAAGAGAGUUAAACAGCACGUGAAAUUGUUGAAAGGGAAGCGCCUAUGACCAGACUUGUCUCUAUCAGUUUUGGUAGUUUUCGGACUGCUUUACUCUGUUAGUACAGGCCAACAUCAGUUUGUUGUCGGGGAGAAAGGCUUAGGGAAUGUGGCUCCCUCGGGAGUGUUAUAGACCUUUGCAUAAUACCCUUCGG
Molecule: ribosomal RNA, 572 nt
Filed under: Ambrosiella beaveri
Lineage: Eukaryota; Fungi; Ascomycota; Sordariomycetes; Microascales; Ceratocystidaceae
Description: eukaryotic LSU rRNA
Rfam family: Eukaryotic large subunit ribosomal RNA
Source: RNAcentral